Molecule: ribosomal RNA, 543 nt
Filed under: uncultured archaeon
Lineage: Archaea
Description: bacterial SSU rRNA
Rfam family: Bacterial small subunit ribosomal RNA
Source: RNAcentral
CAGCAGCCGCGGUAAUACGUAGGUGGCAAGCGUUGUCCGGAAUUACUGGGUGUAAAGGGCGUGUAGGCGGGAAGGCAAGUCAGAUGUGAAAGCCCAUGGCUUAACUGUGGAAUUGCAUCUGAAACUGUUUUUCUUGAGUGCUGGAGAGGAAAGUGGAAUUCCUAGUGUAGCGGUGAAAUGCGUAGAGAUUAGGAGGAACACCAGUGGCGAAGGCGGCUUUCUGGACAGUAACUGACGCUGAGGCGCGAAAGCGUGGGGAGCAAACAGGAUUAGAUACCCUGGUAGUCCACGCUGUAAACGAUGGAUACUAGGUGUGGGAGGUAUCGACCCCUUCCGUGCCGGAGUUAACACAAUAAGUAUCCCACCUGGGGAGUACGGCCGCAAGGCUGAAACUCAAAGGAAUUGACGGGGGCCCGCACAAGCAGUGGAGUAUGUGGUUUAAUUCGAAGCAACGCGAAGAACCUUACCAGGGCUUGACAUACCGAUGACCGGGUUAGAGAUAACCCUUCCCUUCGGGGCAUCGGAUACAGGAGGUGCAUGGCC